GCAAAAUGGGUGAAAAAUGAAAAGAAUGAUAUAAAUUAAAGAUUUGGAAAGAUUAAGGAUAAGGUUAUAAUGAUCUAUGGGAUCUAGUAUCAAAAUCUGCAAUUUAAAUUCAAGUUUCUGAUCAUAAGCUCAUCACAAUGCAAAAUUAACAUUUUUUUUCUUCUCUGUUUGAUUAUUGAACAUAGUAUUAUUAACUAUACUUUCUUCAUACAACAUAAAAAAUGGUUCCAUCU
RNAcentral lists this long non-coding RNA (233 nucleotides) under Durio zibethinus. RNAcentral describes it as "long non-coding RNA (DZIB_LNC002065)". Lineage: Eukaryota; Viridiplantae; Streptophyta; Magnoliopsida; Malvales; Malvaceae. The record is from RNAcentral.